GGGGUUGUGGCUCAGUGGUAGAGCACUUGCCUGGUACAUAAGAGGCACUGGGUUCAAAUCUCAGAACUACA
Molecule: transfer RNA, 71 nt
Filed under: Ictidomys tridecemlineatus (thirteen-lined ground squirrel)
Lineage: Eukaryota; Metazoa; Chordata; Mammalia; Rodentia; Sciuridae
Description: Spermophilus tridecemlineatus (thirteen-lined ground squirrel) tRNA
Rfam family: tRNA
About the family: Transfer RNA (tRNA) molecules are approximately 80 nucleotides in length. Their secondary structure includes four short double-helical elements and three loops (D, anti-codon, and T loops).
Source: Rfam by way of RNAcentral